AUUGAACGCUGGCGGCAGGCCUAACACAUGCAAGUCGAACGAGUGGCGGACGGGUGAGUAAUGUCUGGGAAACUGCCUGAUGGAGGGGGAUAAUUACUGGAAACGGUAGCUAAUACCGCUAACCAUCGUAUGUGCCCAGAUGGGAUUAGCUAGUAGGUUGGGUAAAGGCUCACGUAGACGCCGAUCCCUAGCUGGUCUGAGAGGAUGACCAGCCACACUGAAACGGAUACACGGUCCAGACUCCUACGGGAGGCAGCAGUGAGGCAUAUUGCACAAUGGGCGCAAGCCUGAUGCAGCCAUUCCGCGUGUAUGAAGAAGGCCUUCAGGUUGUAAAGUACUUUCAGCGGGGAGGCGUUACCCGCAGAAGAAGCACCGGCUAACUCCGUGCCAGCAGCCGCGGUAAUAC
This 406-nucleotide ribosomal RNA is filed under the name uncultured bacterium. RNAcentral describes it as "partial 16S ribosomal RNA". It matches the Rfam family "Bacterial small subunit ribosomal RNA", at positions 30 to 526 of the family's 1533-position model. The record is from RNAcentral.